This 315-nucleotide ribosomal RNA is filed under the name uncultured archaeon. RNAcentral describes it as "bacterial SSU rRNA". It matches the Rfam family "Archaeal small subunit ribosomal RNA", at positions 1029 to 1343 of the family's 1478-position model. The record is from RNAcentral.
UUAAGUCAGGCAACAAGCGAGACCUGUACCUAUAAUUGCCAGCAGCAUUUUUAGAUGGACUGGGCACAUUAUAGGGACUGCCUUGGAAACAAGGAGGAAGGUGCAGGCAACGGUAGGUCUGUAUGCCCCGAAUCCUCUGGGCUACACGCGCGCAACAAUGGUAUGGACAAUGGGAUGCAACUCCGUAAGGAGAAGCUAAACCUCUAAACCAUAUCCCAGUCCAGAUUGUGGGUUGUAACUCACCCACAUGACGUUGGAAUCCCUAGUAACCAGGUGUUAGCAUCGCCCGGUGAAUAUGUCCCUGCUCCUUGCACA